UUCUAACGUGGACCCGUAAUCCGGGUUGCGGACAGUGUCUGGUGGGUAGUUUGACUGGGGCGGUCUCCUCCUAAAGAGUAACGGAGGAGCACGAAGGUUGGCUAAUCCUGGUCGGACAUCAGGAGGUUAGUGCAAUGGCAUAAGCCAGCUUGACUGCGAGCGUGACGGCGCGAGCAGGUGCGAAAGCAGGUCAUAGUGAUCCGGUGGUUCUGAAUGGAAGGGCCAUCGCUCAACGGAUAAAAGGUACUCCGGGGAUAACAGGCUGAUACCGCCCAAGAGUUCAUAUCGACGGCGGUGUUUGGCACCUCGAUGUCGGCUCAUCACAUCCUGGGGCUGAAGUAGGUCCCAAGGGUAUGGCUGUUCGCCAUUUAAAGUGGUACGCGAGCUGGGUUUAGAACGUCGUGAGACAGUUCGGUCCCUAUCUGCCGUGGGCGCUGGAGAACUGAGGGGGGCUGCUCCUAGUACGAGAGGACCGGAGUGGACGCAUCACUGGUGUUCGGGUUGUCAUGCCAAUGGCACUGCCCGGUAGCUAAAUGCGGAAGAGAUAAGUGCUGAAAGCAUCUAAGCACGAAACUUGCCCCGA
Molecule: ribosomal RNA, 583 nt
Filed under: Salmonella enterica subsp. enterica serovar Infantis
Lineage: Bacteria; Pseudomonadati; Pseudomonadota; Gammaproteobacteria; Enterobacterales; Enterobacteriaceae
Also listed under: 12 other names
Description: partial 23S ribosomal RNA
Rfam family: Bacterial large subunit ribosomal RNA
Source: RNAcentral